RNAcentral lists this ribosomal RNA (429 nucleotides) under uncultured bacterium. RNAcentral describes it as "bacterial SSU rRNA". It matches the Rfam family "Bacterial small subunit ribosomal RNA", at positions 28 to 346 of the family's 1533-position model. The record is from RNAcentral.
GACGAACGCUGGCGGCGUGCUUAACACAUGCAAGUCGAGCGGUAAGGCCCUUUCGGGGGUACACGAGCGGCGAACGGGUGAGUAACGCGUGGGAAUCUGCCCGGUCGUGGGGAACAACUCGGGGAAACUCGAGCUAAUACCGCAUACGACCGGCGCCUUGAAUUGCUUUACGGACGGGAAGAUCCGGGUGAUAGAGUGAUUCAAGGCGCCGGUGAAAGCGGGGGACCCGAGCACCAUAGCCUUUGCUUCGUUCNGGAAGAGCGAGAGGGGUUGGAGAGGCUGAGGUGCUGGGCCUCGUGCGAUCGGAUGAGCCUGCGUUGGAUUAGCUGGGUUGGUGGGGUAAAGGCCUACCAAGGCGACGAUCCAUAGCUGGUCUGAGAGGGCGACCAGCCACACCGGGACUGAGACACGGCCCGGACUCCUACGGGA